This 254-nucleotide long non-coding RNA is filed under the name Elaeis guineensis (African oil palm). Its description in RNAcentral is "long non-coding RNA (EGUI_LNC065174)". The record is from RNAcentral. Lineage: Eukaryota; Viridiplantae; Streptophyta; Magnoliopsida; Arecales; Arecaceae.
CAUCAUUUAAAUUUAGAAAAGAUAUGUAUCAUGAAUGUAUCGAGCAAAGUAAGAAAUUCUGUAAUGUAGUCAGAUUUUUAGUUAUGUUUCAAAAAAUUUGAAGAAAGUUUCAAAUUCAAUAUUUAAUUUCAAGUUAAUUUUCAAGGAUAAUCAAGUAAAUCAAGUUUAUAAGAUUAGCAUAUGGAAGAACUCAAUAUCAUUUUUAGAUCUAUAAAUGAGUUUUAAGGUUGGACUUUGAAAUACAUUUCUUGGAG